GAACUGAAAGCUAACAAUCUAAGCAAUGGUCUUGUAAAUCAUAGAUAGAAUUAAUAUUCUCAGUUCU
This 67-nucleotide transfer RNA is filed under the name Lumbriculus variegatus. RNAcentral's name for it is "tRNA-Thr". Lineage: Eukaryota; Metazoa; Annelida; Clitellata; Lumbriculida; Lumbriculidae. The record is from RNAcentral.